Molecule: non-coding RNA, 145 nt
Organism: Cordylochernes scorpioides
Lineage: Eukaryota; Metazoa; Arthropoda; Arachnida; Pseudoscorpiones; Chernetidae
Source: the annotation of a GenBank genome assembly
GCCCAUUAGCUCAGUUGGUUAGAGCAUCGUGCUGAUAACGUGGGUUCGAUCUCCCCAUGGGCCAUUUUUAAGGGAUCGGUGGAAGGAUGGUCUAAACCGUUGGUUUUUGACUGCUACGACCCAGGUUCAAUCCCUGCAUUGGGCA